Molecule: ribosomal RNA, 506 nt
Filed under: uncultured bacterium
Lineage: Bacteria
Description: partial 16S ribosomal RNA
Rfam family: Bacterial small subunit ribosomal RNA
Source: RNAcentral
AGUGAACGCUGGCGGUAGGCCUAACACAUGCAAGUCGAACGGCAGCACAGGAGAGCUUGCUCUCUGGGUGGCGAGUGGCGGACGGGUGAGGAAUACAUCGGAAUCUACUUUUUCGUGGGGGAUAACGUAGGGAAACUUACGCUAAUACCGCAUACGACCUACGGGUGAAAGCAGGGGAUCUUCGGACCUUGCGCGAUUGAAUGAGCCGAUGUCGGAUUAGCUAGUUGGCGGGGUAAAGGCCCACCAAGGCGACGAUCCGUAGCUGGUCUGAGAGGAUGAUAAGCCACACUGGAACUGAGGCACGGUCCAGACUCCUACGGGAGGCAGCAGUGGGGAAUAUUGGACAAUGGGCGCAAGCCUGUUCCAGCCAUACCGCGUGGGUGAAGAAGGCCUUCGGGUUGUAAAGCCCUUUUGUUGGGAAAGAAAUCCAGCUGGUUAAUACCCGGUUGGGAUGACGGUACCCAAAGAAUAAGCACCGGCUAACUUCGUGCCAGCAGCCGCCGCAG